AAGAAAGAGAAUGUGCUAAACACAGCUGAGAAAUGUAAUCAACAAACGAGAAAAACAAAUACGGAGACAUGGGAAAAAUAGGUACUGUUGGACAAAUUCAUUCUUCAGUCCCAGAACAAGGAGAGCCUUCUUUGAAGAAAACACAGAGCUCAGAGACCGAAUGAACUGGAGGAAGAGUCUGCAAAUGGAGAUAAGAUGCAGCAGCCACCAAAAGCAA
This is a long non-coding RNA of Sinocyclocheilus grahami, 217 nucleotides long. RefSeq lists it as uncharacterized. The transcript is spliced from 3 exons. Lineage: Eukaryota; Metazoa; Chordata; Actinopteri; Cypriniformes; Cyprinidae. The record is from RefSeq and is a predicted model, not a curated record.